RNAcentral lists this long non-coding RNA (4910 nucleotides) under Ornithorhynchus anatinus (platypus). RNAcentral's name for it is "lncRNA (ENSOANG00000041252.1)". Lineage: Eukaryota; Metazoa; Chordata; Mammalia; Monotremata; Ornithorhynchidae. The record is from RNAcentral.
AAUAAAUUCAUUCUUGUGAGAGCUCUUUGGGAACAAAAGCGCUAUCCAAGAACUUUAGGAAUGUGUUAUACUGUUGUGCUCCCCCAAGCGCUUCGUCUAGUGCUGUGCACUCAGCAAGUGCUCAAUAAAUACGAUCGAUCGGUUGAUUGACUAAAAGCACUAUAGAAAGCCAAGACGUUAUUUUACUUGGUAGGAGAAAACAAGGAGAGGAGGGCAAGAGAGAGUUCGUCUGAAGACACAAUCCCAGCCUCCCUGUCUGCCCUGGGUUCAAGGAGCGGUGAAGCUAAGGGUCCCCAGUCCGUGCCCCAUUCCUCUCGAGGGGUGGGGAGUGACCUCCUGCUCCUCUUCCUCCUCCAUCUUCUCCCGCUCCUCUUUCUCCUCCUCCUUCACCUUCUCCACUUCCUUCUUCUCUUCUUCCUCCUCUUCCUUCUCCUCCUCCUCCUCCAUCUUCUCCCCCUUCUCCUCCUCCUCCUCCUCCUCCUUCCCCUCCUCUUCCUCCAUCCUCUCCUCCCCCUUCUCCUCCUCCUCUUCCUCCUCCUUCUCCUCUUCUUCUUCCUCCUUCUCCUCCUCCUUCCCCUCGUCCUUCUCCUCCUUCUCCUCCUCUUCCUUCUCCUUCUCCACGUCUUUCUUCUUCCCCUCCUCCUCCUCCAUCUUCUCCUCCACCUUCUCUUCCUCUUCUCCUUUCUUCUCCCUCCUCCUCCCCAGCCCCCCCCGGACAGAAGGAUGCUCUGGAAGGAAGGACCAAGAAACGCGGUGCGCAGCCGGCGGCCUCGGCCCCCCUCCCCAGGGCCCCCUCCCCAAAGCCCGCCUCCCCCACGGACGAUGGCGCGCAGGGACCCUCCUCCUCCUCCACCUCCUCCUCCUCCUCCUCCUCCUCCUCCUCCUCCGCCACCGCCUCCGCUCGGAGCCGCUCUUGGUCGGGCCGUGCCUCCCUCCGGGCGCCCCCUCCCCUUCCCUUUCCCCUUCUCCUUCCCCUCCUCCUCCUCCUCCUCCUCCUCCGGGCGCCCCCUCCCCAUCCCCUCCCGCGGAAAGCGCCGCCUCUGCCUCCAGCCCAACUUCCAACAGCCCCCGGCCGGGCGCGGACACUGCACGGCGCCACCACCUUGGACACGGACGGGAGAAGGCGCCCGGGGGCUGCUCGGACACAGAGACAGAUAACCACUCCCCUGCCCCUGCCCCUGCCCCUGCCCCUGCCCCUGCCCCUGCCCCGUCCUGCCCCUUUCCCUGCUCCUGUCCCUGCCCUGCCCCUUGCCAGGCCCCUGCCCUGUCCUGCCCCUUUCCCUGCUCCUGCCCUGCCCCUUUCCCGGCCCCUGACCCUGUCCUGCCCCUUUCCCUUUCCCUUUCCCUGUCCUGCCCCUUUCCCUGCCCCUGUCCCGUCCUGCCCCUUUCCCUUUCCCUUUCCCUGCCCCUGUCCCUUUCCCGGUCCCUGCCCCUGCCCUAAUCCCGCCCCUCUCCGGAUCCCCGGGGACCCCAGUCCCCCCCUCUUGGGGGGUCGAAGAGGAGAGAGCCAGCCACAGCCCCGUGCGCCUUCGCCGCGCCCGGGACCCCAGCCCGACCGGCUCGGGAGUCGAGGAGAAGAAAGAGAUCGUCAGAGAGCCACAGAGCCCGAGAGAGAGCGACAGAGAGCCACAGAAAGACCACCACAGCCCGGGCGCCCUCGUCGCGUUUAGAGAGAGAGAGAGAGAGAGAGAGAGAGAGAGAGAGAGAAGAGAAGAAGAAAGAAAGAAAGAAAGAAAGAAAGAAAGAAAGAAAGAAAGAAAGAAAGAAAGAAAGAAAGAAGAAAGAAAGAAAGAAAGAAAGAGAGACCCUCCCUCCGCUGCCCCUGACUUUCUUCCAACCCCUCUCCGGAUCCCCAGGGACUCCAACCUGCCCGGCUCGGAGGUCGAGGAGGAGAGAGAGAUCGACAGAGAGCCACAGAAAGAGAACCGCAGCCCGUGCGCCCUCGCCGCGCUUGGAGAGAGAGAGAGCGACGUCCCUCCCCUGCCCCUAAUUUACUCCCAUCCCUUUUCCGGAUCUCCAGGGACCCCAGGCCGACCGGCUCGGGGGUCGAGGAGGAGAGAGAGAUCGACAGAGAGCCACAGAGACCGAAAGAGAGCGGCAGAGAUCUAGAGAGAGCGACAGAGAGCGAGCCACAGCCCGUGCGCCCUCGCCGCUUUUGGAGAGAGCGGGACACCCCCCCCCCCCCCCGCCCCUGACUUUCUCCCAUCCCCUCUCCGGAUCUCCAGGCACCCCUGGCCGACCGGCUCGGGGGUCGAGGAGGAGAGAGAGAUCGACAGAUACCCAGAGAGAUCGACGGAGAGCCACAGAAAGAGAACCACAGCCCGUGCGCCCUCGCCGCGCUUGGAGAGAGAAAGAGAGAGAGAGACGCCCCUCCCCUGCCCCUGACUUUCUCCCAUCCCCUCUCCGAAACUCCAGGGACCCCUGGCCGACCCGCUCGGGGGUCGAGGAGGGGAAAGAGAUCUUCAGAGAGGCACAGAAAGAGAGCCACAGGCACAGAAAGAGAGCCACCGCCCGGGCUCCCUCGCCGCGCUUGGAGAGAGAAAGAGGGACCCCCCCCUCCCCUGCCCCUGACUUUCUCCCAUCCCCUCUCCGGAUCUCCAGGGACCCCUGGCCGACCGGCUCGGGGGUCGAGGAGGAGAAAGAGAUCGACAGAGAGCCGCAGAGACCGAGAAAGAGCGGCAGAGAGCCGGCCACAGUCCGUGCGCCCUCCCCGCGCUUGGAGAGAGAGAGGGGGACCCCCGUCCCCUGCCUCUGACUUUCUCCCAUCCCCUCUCCGGAUCCCCGGGGACCCCUGGCCGACCGGCUCGGGGGUCGAGGAGGAGAAAGAGAUCGACAGAGCGAGCGGGCGAGGCCCCGUCCGUGCGCCGGCCGGGCGUUAGCUUGGUGCGUUAGGUUGGGGUGGGGAUGGAGGGCGCGGGCGGGAACCAGACGGAGGCGUCGGGGCUGCUGCUGCUGCUGCUCCCGCCGGCGGCGGACAACAGCAGCGAGGGUCUGGAGCGGGUGGUCCGCUGCUGCACGCCGGCCUCCGUGGUCACCGACGGCGGCCUGGGCCCCGGAGGCCCCGACGAGCGCAGCCUCUACAUCAUGCGCCUCGUGCAGAUCGCCGUCAUGUGCGUCCUGGCCCUCACCGUCGUCUUCGGCAUCUUCUUCCUCGGCUGCAACCUGCUCAUCAAGUCCGAGGGCAUGAUCAACUUUCUGGUCAAGGACAGGAGGCCGUCCAAGGAGGUGGAGGCCGUGGCCGUGGGGCCCUACUGACCGGUCCCCUCGGGGGAGAAGGCUCGCCGGGACUCGGCUCCCCUCGGAUCCCCCCACCUCGGACCCCCCCGGGCUCCCCCUCGGACCUCCCUCGGACCCCUCUAGGACUCUCCUUGGACACCCUUUGGACCCCCCCUUUGGACCCCCCAAGGACUUCCCUUGGACCCUCCUUAGAUCCCUCUUGGAUUCCCCUUGGUUCCCCCCCACACACACACACACAAAGACACACACGCACACACCCCCACCCCCAUCCUCCCCGGCCACACAUCCCGGCCUGGGUUUGGAGAGAACGGGUUUGGGAGCCCGGGGGAGAUGGGUCGAUAACAUGUGGGAUGUGCUGUUGGACGGACUGGUUUUUGGGGGGCUGAAAAAAAAAUUUAAUACCGAAAAAAUAUUUGAUGAGUCGUUUUCCGCACCCUCUUUAAGUUGGUGGGAUCCCGAGUUGUCGUUCCAAGAGAAAUAGGAUCCCCCCACCUCCAAGGACCAACCCCGCAAUUGUGAGUGGGUUGAGUCGUUCAUUUGUUGUGUGUCUCCUGUUGCUUUUCGUAUGGGGAGGGAGGGGAGGGCUGAAAUGAUUGUCGGGGUUUGGGGGGGAGAUGGGCCGGGGCGUGGGUCCGCACGGUUUUCGCAGCUAAAGUGUGUGUGGUUGGUCUGUACGGUCCUGUUUGGAUAGUCUUUUCUCUAUUGACUUUUUAUUUAAUAAAGACAUCUUCGGAAAGGCCGGGGGCUUCGGGAACCGUCUGUGGGCUUCAACGGCGCUGGAGGUUGGGCGGAGGGCGGCAAGGGAGGACCCGCGGGGAGGUUGUGGUUUGGGGUUGGGGAUAUUUGGAUCCAUUUCUGUGCUGGGCAGCUCAGGGUGGGCUGGGGGGUGGGGGGUGUGGAGAGGGUCCCCUUGGCGGGGAGGGGACCCCUGGAGGGAGGAAGACUUGGGAUGGGGCAGAAGUAGCAGGGCGCAAUUGGCAGAAGCCCUUGUCUUGGCAAUUCCCCUUUCUUGCAAGGGUUGGGGGUGGCUGAUGGGAGACCAAGGCGCUGCUAGACCCCCCUAAAAGGGAGGUGGCUAGGAAGGGGUCUCGGCUACAGAUGUUCACUAGAUGGAUAUACUUCUAGACCUUGAGCUCGUCGUGGGCAGGGAUUGUCUCUCUUUAUUGCUGUAUUGUACUUUCCCGAGCGCUUAAUACAGUGCUCUGCAUGCAGUAAGCGCUCAAUAAAUAUGAUUGAAUGAACAGUUGCAACUGCUGUGCUUAUAGGGCGCAGUGUGCAUGUGUGCACUUGUGUGCCCAUUUGUGUGUGAGGGCCAACUGUAUGUGAUCCUGCGUGUACGUGUGCCUAUGGGUGCCCUCGCAGAUGUACUUUUUUGUGUGUUUGCCCAUGUGUGUGCCCGGGUAUGUUUUGUGCACCUGUGGAAUGUGUGUUGCCGCCUAUGUUUCUAUGUGGGAACGUGUCUGCGAACUCUGUUGAAUAGUACUCUCCUAAGAGCUUAGUAUAUAAAGGGCUCUGCUCAUAGUAAGCACUCAGUAAGUAGCAUUGAUUGAUUGUGUGUGUGUGUGUGUUUUUGUGUGUGUGUAUGUGUGUGUACAUGUGUGUGUAAGGCCAGGAUUGUUGGAAACAGAUUUUCAGCAAAGCUCAGAGCAGAGCGGGUUCACAUCUGUCAGUCU